RNAcentral lists this ribosomal RNA (469 nucleotides) under uncultured bacterium. RNAcentral describes it as "bacterial SSU rRNA". It matches the Rfam family "Bacterial small subunit ribosomal RNA", at positions 8 to 523 of the family's 1533-position model. The record is from RNAcentral.
AGAGUUUAAUCCUGGCUCAGAGCGAACGCUGGCGGCAGGCCUAAUACAUGCAAGUCGAGCGGUCCCUUCGGGGGCAGCGGCGGACGGGUGAGUAACGCGUGGGAACGUGCCCUUUGGUACGGAACAACUGAGGGAAACUUCAGCUAAUACCGUAUGUGCCCUUCGGGGGAAAGAUUUAUCGCCAUUGGAGCGGCCCGCGUUAGAUUAGCUAGUUGGUAGGGUAAUGGCCUACCAAGGCGACGAUCUAUAGCUGGUCUGAGAGGAUGAUCAGCCACACUGGGACUGAGACACGGCCCAGACUCCUACGGGAGGCAGCAGUAGGGAAUCUUGCGCAAUGGGCGAAAGCCUGACGCAGCCAUGCCGCGUGAAUGAUGAAGGUCUUAGGAUUGUAAAAUUCUUUCACCGGGGACGAUAAUGACGGUACCCGGAGAAGAAGCCCCGGCUAACUUCGUGCCAGCAGCCGCGGUAA